UGGGCACACGCAAGCUUCGAAGUGGGC
RNAcentral lists this non-coding RNA (27 nucleotides) under Rattus norvegicus (Norway rat). Lineage: Eukaryota; Metazoa; Chordata; Mammalia; Rodentia; Muridae. The record is from RNAcentral.